Molecule: transfer RNA, 71 nt
Filed under: Saprospiraceae bacterium
Lineage: Bacteria; Pseudomonadati; Bacteroidota; Saprospiria; Saprospirales; Saprospiraceae
Description: tRNA-Gln
Rfam family: tRNA
About the family: Transfer RNA (tRNA) molecules are approximately 80 nucleotides in length. Their secondary structure includes four short double-helical elements and three loops (D, anti-codon, and T loops). Further hydrogen bonds mediate the characteristic L-shaped molecular structure. tRNAs have two regions of fundamental functional importance: the anti-codon, which is responsible for specific mRNA codon recognition, and the 3' end, to which the tRNAs corresponding amino acid is attached (by aminoacyl-tRNA synthetases). tRNAs cope with the degeneracy of the genetic code in two manners: having more than one tRNA (with a specific anti-codon) for a particular amino acid; and 'wobble' base-pairing, i.e. permitting non-standard base-pairing at the 3rd anti-codon position.
Source: RNAcentral
UGGGCCAUGGUGUAAUGGUAACACAGCAGAUUUUGGUUCUGUUGUUCAGGGUUCGAGUCCUUGUGGCCCAA